Molecule: non-coding RNA, 2524 nt
Organism: Phalacrocorax carbo (great cormorant)
Lineage: Eukaryota; Metazoa; Chordata; Aves; Suliformes; Phalacrocoracidae
Source: RefSeq, a predicted model, not a curated record
UGAGCGCUUGGCACGGCGCCCAGCCGCCUUUCACUGCUGCCUUUUCAUUUGCAUUAAUUCACUGCGUUUCCUUUCUUGCUCCUUGCGAGGAACAGAGGGAGAGCUUGUUCCAGCAGACGGGCCCCAUCCGUUCCACCCGGCUCUGCUGGAGCGAGGGCUGGAAAAGAGGGAUGGAAGCGAAGGGGUAUCUCCCACCCCUCCGGGGCCCCGCGUGCCGCCUGCGUGCUGCUUCCCAGCAAAUACGCCCGCUGCUUCCCAAGGAUGAGGACCCAGACCCUCUGGGCUCAUGCAGGAGAUGCCAUGGACUGGCUGCCAUCCACAGGCUUCUCUCAUGAGGAGAUGUCAACUGGCAAGCUGCUGGUCCUCGUACCGCUCCGGUUUUUUGAAAUCUAUUCAGCUUUACUAGAGAGCAGGAAACCAGUACAGCAUUAGGUGCCCAGGACGAGAAUAGUAGCACUGCAAAGAGCAGUAGGCAUGCAGCAGCAUGUACAGGAAUCAAUGAUGUUUGUGCUGUUAGUUGAUCCAGGAAAGGACUGAUGUUGAUAGCAAGAAAAUUUUCAAGAUCUGCGAGGAGAAUUGCAUGGCCAGUAUCAUUGUAUUCAAAUAGUAAUUUGGUUUCUAAGCCUCCUAUAGAGUGCUAAAAUACCACCCCGGCCAUCAGAGAACCUGGGAUGUAUGGCACAGAGACCUGGAGCCAGCAAUCCUGACACACCUUCAGCUCGGUUGUGCCAGAUGCGAUGUAGGAGGCUGGAAAACCUCAGGUAAUUGCUUGGACCACAUUCAAACCACUUCCUAUGGGGUCUGAUAAAGCCUUAAACAUCAGCGGCACUGGGGGAUGGGUGUGAGCGGUAUCAUCCAGAACAGCGACAGACCCAGCGCGCUCUGCAGCCCGUGAGGAGCUGCAGGACCCCGUUCAAACAACCCUUAGAUGGUGCUUUUGUUUAUUCCCGCUGAUGGAGUACAGAACUAGGGGUCUGGCAGCCCUGGAAAUGCAAAGUCCUGAAGUAACCGUGGUUUUCAUGAUAACAGUAGGUACCCAAGUCUGGAACAAGCUCCACAGCUGGCAGUUUGAGAAGAGCUCGUGGUUUUACAGUGCUGUAUGUGGUGGGAAAAUUUCUCCCAGCCCUACACCGUGACCAGUUCUCCCUGAUGUUUCCAGCUGGAAAACCGCAGAGAAAAAAGCCUCAUGGUGCAACAUCCUAAGCCAUUUGCUACAAAAUAAAGCAAUUAAGGACCGGAAACACUCCCAAACAAAGCGCUACAGAGACCUGACGCUGUUGUUCGUUUCGUCUGGACCUGAGCCAGGGCCUGUGACUAGACCUGUCGUAUACCCACACCUUCAAAGCCAGAGCCUGGGCUGUGCUUAUGUUCUCCUAUCACAGAGUGAGAGCUUUCCUGGAGCCGCCGAAAGAGCCUGAACACUUUCUUCUGUAAUCUGUCAUGACUGUCAGAAUGCCAAGAGACAUGCCAGACCUAGACCCUGGGCCAAAAUAACUAUGUAGACAUGCCCAGAAAGGAGAGCUGGCACAAGGUAUUGUAUAAAGUGAGAUAUGUGAAGCCGCAGGCGAAUAGUUUGGUAAUCACACGGGUAGGUUAGGCUUGGCAGAGGGCAAAGCACGUCUGCUCAUCAAGAAAAGAAGAGGCAAAACUUUAUCAGCUUGCAAUAAGGUUGGAGUCCUUCUUAGUGAGAGCUCAGGAGAGCUUCAAGGGGUUAAACAAGAAUAGUUACCCCGGAAAGGUUGAGGUGAAGGACUCCAUGAUAUCCCAGUGAGGCCACAAACAUCUUUCCAGAAGAGGUUAUGUAGGGAAAAAAGAUCACACUCCCCUUAAUGAAUCCCAUUUCAUGAUAAGGUUCAGGAGUGACUGGAGGAAGGAGCAUGCACCUUGCUCAGUGUUUGUGCAGGGGGAUCCUUCAUCUGUGUCUUCACCUCAGUAUUGACGUGGAAAGUUAAACCUCAAAGGAUGGGAGAGGGCAGUUCAGCUGUGGGUUACAAUGGCACAGCAAGUCAGCGAGGCAGACCACAGACACACUGCUCAAAAGCAUUGCACCUAAUCAGCUCGGAGAAGAUGGUGAUAUAUUCCUGAAGAGGUUGUUACCGGUGCUCAUGGCCAUCCAGUCCCCUGCUGAACAGUUUUGAUCAAAGUCUUUCCAAGCUGAUCUAUUUUCAGCCCAACCCACUCAAUACCUUGAUUGCUACACAGCUCUUUUAGCUGCUCUUAGGUAAACAUGCUGUCGCUCCUUGGCAUUUUGCCUCGCUAAGCCCAAAAAUACAAGUGGCACAGAAAAUAAGAGAAGCUGUUCUCCUUCGCCAGGAAAAAUGAUGCUAUUUCUGAAAUAAACUGUUUUUAAUACACCUCACCGGCCAUGCACGUAUACAUGUAUUUAUAAAUAUACUUGAACUGGAGAUCCAGCUGUUGGCAUCGUGUAUGCCUAUAUGGAGACAGAAACAGAAAGGGAAUUAUGUGUGUACAAACCUGGACACACCUUCAGUCCAGCCUGUGUCUGAAUGCAGAGUCUUGGUUA